GAUUAAGUUAUUAAGGGCGCACGGUGGAUGCCUUGGCACUAGAAGCCGAUGAAGGACGUUACUAACGACGAUAUGCUUUGGGGAGCUGUAAGUAAGCUUUGAUCCAGAGAUUUCCGAAUGGGGAAACCCAGCAUGAGUUAUGUCAUGUUAUCGAUAUGUGAAUACAUAGCAUAUCAGAAGGCACACCCGGAGAACUGAAACAUCUUAGUACCCGGAGGAAGAGAAAGAAAAUUCGAUUCCCUUAGUAGCGGCGAGCGAAACGGGAAGAGCCCAAACCAACAAGCUUGCUUGUUGGGGUUGUAGGACACUCUAUACGGAGUUACAAAGGACGACAUUAGACGAAUCAUCUGGAAAGAUGAAUCAAAGAAGGUAAUAAUCCUGUAGUCGAAAAUGUUGUCUCUCUUGAGUGGAUCCUGAGUACGACGGAGCACGUGAAAUUCCGUCGGAAUCUGGGAGGACCAUCUCCUAAGGCUAAAUACUCUCUAGUGACCGAUAGUGAACCAGUACCGUGAG
Molecule: ribosomal RNA, 513 nt
Filed under: Staphylococcus aureus
Lineage: Bacteria; Bacillati; Bacillota; Bacilli; Caryophanales; Staphylococcaceae
Description: partial 23S ribosomal RNA
Rfam family: Bacterial large subunit ribosomal RNA
Source: RNAcentral